This 974-nucleotide long non-coding RNA is filed under the name Capsella grandiflora. RNAcentral's name for it is "long non-coding RNA (CGRA_LNC000817)". The record is from RNAcentral. Lineage: Eukaryota; Viridiplantae; Streptophyta; Magnoliopsida; Brassicales; Brassicaceae.
CCUUUUUCAAUUAGAAAUUUCGUUAUCAAUAUGCCUUUCAAUUUUUUGUAUCCUUUCAAUGUAUUAUCUCAACAAUAUACAACACAAAAAGCUAAAGUAUCAUCAGUCAUACGCCAGAUAUUGACUUCAAAUACAACCAUGUUCAUCAUAAUGAUAUUUCCUUACUAAAUAACCUUGUAACAAGCCUAGCUUGAGUACUCUGAUGCAACAUUACGUAGCCUUUUUCUUAAGUACAAGAAAACAAAAUUUUGAAAUGAGGAAAACCUUUAAACCCAAAACCCUUGCUCCCAUUUGGCGUUGUCCAAGUUUAGCAUCACCAAGUUCACUUGAUCCCUAAGACAUCACAACUAGAAAAAUUUUAAACUCUGGCCAUAAGCAAAACUUAGUACAUGUCCUAAGUUUGCGAGUAAUAAUUUAAAAUCAAUUAUACACUAUUGUAGUUACCUUCUAACUGAGAUCUCUUUGGAAAAAGAAAUUUGGAAUUAGUUCCAACAAACAAAGUAAUGCCAUGUAAAGCUUUGUUUCCAAUGCAAUAUAUAUAUCAGACUUAUCAGUCAAAAACUCACAAAGCUAAAAAUAUAAAAUCAAACUUCAUAUAUAGUAUAGAUAUUUCAUUUUUAUAACUAAAAUUUAGUAAUUUAUUUACCUGUUUGAAGAAAUAUUAAGAAUAUAGCUUCGUCUUCUUUUUUUCUUUCUUUUUGCCUUUGAGAAGUAAUAAAAAAACAAUAAAAAUCAGUGGACGUUUAUUUUGAUGUCCCUAUAUACUUUAUAGAUUUAAGCUUUGAUACAAUAAAAUCAGGAAACAAUUACCUUGUAAAGUUUCUAAAUACUUUUUCGAUUUAAACUUGAUACUAUCUGAGUGAAGAUAUAUACUAAACAAAUUUUAUUUCUUGAAUUAACUUGCAUAAGUUAGAAAUAUCUAAAAUCUAUUAAACUAUUUUGUCAAAUAUUAUACAUUUUAGUAAAAAGAANNN